This 585-nucleotide ribosomal RNA is filed under the name uncultured beta proteobacterium. RNAcentral describes it as "bacterial SSU rRNA". It matches the Rfam family "Bacterial small subunit ribosomal RNA", at positions 338 to 916 of the family's 1533-position model. The record is from RNAcentral. Lineage: Bacteria; Pseudomonadati; Pseudomonadota; Betaproteobacteria.
CCUACGGGAGGCAGCAGUGGGGAAUUUUGGACAAUGGGGGCAACCCUGAUCCAGCAAUGCCGCGUGUGUGAAGAAGGCCUUCGGGUUGUAAAGCACUUUUGUCAGGAACGAAACGGUGGGGGCUAAUACCUUCUGCUAAUGACGGUACCUGAAGAAUAAGCACCGGCUAACUACGUGCCAGCAGCCGCGGUAAUACGUAGGGUGCGAGCGUUAAUCGGAAUUACUGGGCGUAAAACGUGCGCAGGCGGUUGUGCAAGACAGAUGUGAAAUCCCCGGGCUCAACCUGGGAAUGGCAUUUGUGACUGCACGGCUAGAGUGUGUCAGAGGGGGGUAGAAUUCCACGUGUAGCAGUGAAAUGCGUAGAUAUGUGGAGGAAUACCGAUGGCGAAGGCAGCCCCCUGGGAUAACACUGACGCUCAGGCACGAAAGCGUGGGGAGCAAACAGGAUUAGAUACCCUGGUAGUCCACGCCCUAAACGAUGUCUACUAGUUGUCGGGUCUUAAUUGACUUGGUAACGCAGCUAACGCGUGAAGUAGACCGCCUGGGGAGUACGGUCGCAAGAUUAAAACUCAAAGGAAUUGACGG